This 266-nucleotide long non-coding RNA is filed under the name Rattus norvegicus (Norway rat). RNAcentral's name for it is "long non-coding RNA NONRATT023229". The record is from RNAcentral. Lineage: Eukaryota; Metazoa; Chordata; Mammalia; Rodentia; Muridae.
GGCCCGGAGAGCGGACUGCAGAGUCGCCAUCUUGUACUCGGCUCGACCCGGUCUGGUGCUGGGCAACUGGGGGCCGAGGGUAGGGGGCUGGAAGGGAGGCGCGGGCGCGAGCGAGGCGCGCUGCCUAUGGCGCGCGCGCUCUCAUGGCCCAGCGCGGUACCCCCCAACUGCUCGCCCCGGGCUCUGCAAGCCUCUGGGCCAGGUCCCGCCACGGAGACUGCCGGGCCAGCCCUGACUCGCGAGGGGGCGGAGCUGCCGGCGGCCGC